RNAcentral lists this long non-coding RNA (268 nucleotides) under Lathyrus oleraceus (garden pea). RNAcentral describes it as "Pisum sativum (pea) long non-coding RNA (PSAT_LNC014531)". The record is from RNAcentral. Lineage: Eukaryota; Viridiplantae; Streptophyta; Magnoliopsida; Fabales; Fabaceae.
GAUGAUAGAAGGAGAAUAGGCACCUAACUCCAAAGGUUUAAACUUACUUUCCCAAAAAUAUCCUACUUAAACAUAAGCCAAGUUACAACCUGAAAAGAGCUCAAAUAUGUGUGUUGUGAUUUCUAUGAUGAAUUAUAUUAUAACAUCAAGCUAAGCAUAAUUUAUUUUUAUAUUUUGAUUGAGAGAUAAUCAUAUCCAUUGAGUGAGUCAAUGUGAGCUGAGAGACAGGUUGAGUACUCGUCAAAGCUUAGGGACAUUUUUCGAAUUU